This 568-nucleotide ribosomal RNA is filed under the name uncultured Gordonia sp. RNAcentral's name for it is "bacterial SSU rRNA". It matches the Rfam family "Bacterial small subunit ribosomal RNA", at positions 29 to 610 of the family's 1533-position model. The record is from RNAcentral. Lineage: Bacteria; Bacillati; Actinomycetota; Actinomycetes; Mycobacteriales; Gordoniaceae.
UUGAACGCUGGCGGCGUGCUUCACACAUGCAAGUCGAACGGAAAGGCCCAGCUUGCUGGGUACUCGAGUGGCGAACGGGUGAGUAACACGUGGGUGAUCUGCCCUGGACUCUGGGAUAAGCCUGGGAAACUGGGUCUAAUACCGGAUAGGACCACUGAUUGCAUGGUUGGUGGUGGAAAGCUUUUGCGGUUCAGGAUGGGCCCGCGGCCUAUCAGCUUGUUGGUGGGGUAAUGGCCUACCAAGGCGACGACGGGUAGCCGACCUGAGAGGGUGAUCGGCCACACUGGGACUGAGACACGGCCCAGACUCCUACGGGAGGCAGCAGUGGGGAAUAUUGCACAAUGGGCGCAAGCCUGAUGCAGCGACGCCGCGUGAGGGAUGACGGCCUUCGGGUUGUAAACCUCUUUCGCUAGGGACGAAGCGUAAGUGACGGUACCUGGAGAAGAAGCACCGGCCAACUACGUGCCAGCAGCCGCGGUAAUACGUAGGGUGCGAGCGUUGUCCGGAAUUACUGGGCGUAAAGAGCUCGUAGGCGGAUUGUCGCGUCGUCUGUGAAAUUCUGCAACUC